Non-coding RNA from Pantherophis guttatus, 460 nucleotides. The record is from RefSeq and is a predicted model, not a curated record. Lineage: Eukaryota; Metazoa; Chordata; Lepidosauria; Squamata; Colubridae.
UGGUUGAAGCAAAAGUCUAGUAAGAGGGGAAAAAAAAACCUUCCCUGAUUUUCAAGUCAAAUCAGGGAAGAGUUAGGCCAAUUUUAAUAAACUAAGAGAAAUAAUAAGGAAGUUGCCAUUAGCAAGAAGGUAACAAUGAAUGAAAAAAAUGUAAUAAAUGGCUAAGAAAGAGCAGAAGAAUUCUUUGCCUCUGUCUUCGCAGAGUGAUUUGAAGCUAAAAAUGAAUACAAUAGAAGAGGAUACAGGUAACUACUCUGAUGUACAAGAGGAAUGCUGUGGAAACAAUCUACUUUCAGCAAAGCUUUUGACAAGGUUCCACAUCUCACUAUUCUCACUAUCAAGCUUCAAAAAUAUAGUCGGCAUACAAUAAGUCUUCUGAAGAGGAUACCGUUCCAGUGGAUGAAGCUUUCAGCAACUUCUUGUGGCCUGAAUAUCAAAUAAAUAAUCUUUUAAACAAUCA